Long non-coding RNA from Capsella rubella, 598 nucleotides. RefSeq lists it as uncharacterized. NCBI's taxonomy places the organism in Eukaryota, Viridiplantae, Streptophyta, Magnoliopsida, Brassicales, Brassicaceae. The record is from RefSeq and is a predicted model, not a curated record. The transcript has 3 exons.
UUGUCUACCAUAUGUACAACCAGCAACCGGAUUACCCGCAACAGCUUUAUGAUAAGUGUCGCCAAGUGAUUGAAGAUUAUAUUAUACAAACGGUGGGUAGCAAAAAUAUAUUCUUCUUAGCUUUUAUAAACUUACGCAAACAAAAACAGUUAAUACUUGUUUUAUGUGUGGUUUAGGUGUUGUUAUCCUUAAGGGAGAAGCAUGGUGAAGAUAUGCUAAGAGAACUUGUUAUGAGAUGGAAGAACCAUAAAACUCUGGUCAAAAAGCUACGCAUGUUCUUCUGUUAUAUGGAAUCACGUUUUAUUCCAUCACUGAGUGAAGUUGGUUUGACACGUUUUCGUGACCUGGUUUAUGGUGAGAUGCAGUCCACGGCAACAGAAGUUGUACUAGCACUUAUUCAUAAAGAACGCGACGGCUAAGAGAUUGAUAGGGAAGUAGUGGAAACCGUAUUAGAAGUCUAUGUGGAGAAUGGGAUGGGAACUAAGGAGAGAUAUGAAGAGGAUUUUGAAAGAGUCAUGCUUCAAGAGACUGUAUCUUACUAUUCUCCCAAGGCAUCAAUGUGGAUGAAGGAGUAUUCUAGUUCUGAUUAUUUGCUAAA